Coturnix japonica (Japanese quail) is the source of this 5167-nucleotide non-coding RNA. The record is from RefSeq and is a predicted model, not a curated record. Lineage: Eukaryota; Metazoa; Chordata; Aves; Galliformes; Phasianidae.
ACGCUGCACACCUGCAUUGCCUUGCCAUCUCCCCAUCCUGCCAGUGGCGGCUUGGAAGAGAAGACCUCCCAGUGUGUGGGGUUGGCCUCUUUAAGACUUUAUGAGUAUUAGCUUGACAGCCUGCUUCCAAGACUAGGCUUGGAACUGUAUCUUCUAACGAGUGGUAGACUUUGAGAAAUGGAGGUUUGAGAGCUGCAGUGGAUCACUGAUUGCAGUUUCCUCUAAGUUGCAGCACUGAAAACAAUGGCAAAUGAAUAUAUUAAAAACUGCUGUAAAUGGUGUUUUUAUGUGGAAAAAGAAAAAAGCAAUGCAGUUUCCAUGGCGCAGGAAUCUGAAGCUGUACCCGCAAGGAAGCCAACUAUUGUAGAGCAACCUCCAUUGUCUUCGGUGUCAGUGAAGCGGCAAGUUGGCUGUUCAGAGGAUUAUCUGCUUUCUAAACUGCCCCUGGAUGGGCAGGAGGUACCAUUUGUGGUCCCACCAUUCAAACUGGCUUAUGUGCAGCCAAAAAACCUUCCUAAUACCUCACAUGCUGGACGGAUUCAAGAAUCUGCUAGAGCUUCUUUUGGGGACCGGAAAGCAGAACUGUGCGGUGUGUACCAGUGGCCCCGCUAUGAUGUGUACAACCCAUUCUACUUGGAGCAUCAUGUUUCACCAGACCAGAUUAGGCGCUUCCAAGCCAAAUCAGAUCAUAGGAAAUUAUAUGGAUCAGUUAGUGAUUUAAGAACCAGUGCUUUGCCUGGAUCACUUGAUUUAAGUCAUUCAAUGUUUGAUCUUAGAAGCCCACCUCAUCGAUUCAUGAAGAGAUAUGAUUCAGUCUCCAGUGUACCUAGCAGCACCUCCUCCAGAAAGGACUCACACGGCAGUAACAGGAGUCUGGAUACCAUUACAUUAUCAGGUGAUGAACGAGACUUUGGAAGACUGAAUGUAAAGUUGUGUUAUGUUCCUUCUGUGGAGCAGAUCUGGAUCACAGUUUUACAAUGCAAAGGGCUGAGCUGGCCUUCUGGCUGUGGGGAAAAUCCUCGUAUCUAUGUCAAGGGAAUUCUCACGCUGCCCAAGCCUGUGCAGUUCAAAUCCUCUGCCAAGGAAGGCUGCAAUGAUAUUGAAUUUAUGGAAACUUUUGUAUUUGCCAUUAAGCUGCAGAGUGUUCAGGCUGUCAGACUGGUAUUUAAAAUCCAGACACAGACUCCUAGGAAAAGAACAAUUGGGGAAUGCUCUUUGUCAUUGCGUGAGCUCAGCUCAGAGGAGUCAAAUCAUUGGCUGGAUAUAUCUCCUCCUUCCAAAGCACCUGUGUGCCGCACAGAACUUCAAAUAGGAACUUGUUUUCAAGCAAUAAACAGGAGGAUUCAGUUACAGAUUCUUGAAGCACAAAAUCUUCCAAUUUCAUCUACACCGCUGUCUUUAAGUUUCUUUGUGAAAGUUGGAAUGUUUAGUACAGAAGGGCUGAUCUAUAAGAAGAAGACCCGUCUUGUGAAGUCCACUAAUGGCCAAGUGAAGUGGAGAGAAAUGAUGAUUUUUCCAGUUAGCCAAGCUGAACAAGGAAUUAGUUUUCUCAUCAAACUCUACAGCAGAAGCUCAGUGAGAAGAAAGCAUUUCCUAGGACAGGUCUGGAUAAGUUCUGACAGCAAUAACAGUGAAGCAAUAGAGCAGUGGGAAGAUACUAUUGCUAACCCUGAAAAAGUUGUUAUUAAGUGGUACAGCCUUGGUCCAUCUUGAAGACUGGAUAUGAAAAUGAGGACUCUUUUUUUCACUAAGAUAUUCUUGUGCUGUUUAAAAUAAUAGAAAUAAAAAGAAAAAUAUUGUCUACACAAACUGUUCAAAAGGAAUCUACUCUAUCAUGCCUCCAUGUUAACUGGAAAAACUCGAUUUCCUGAAGAGAGUUACUGCCUAAAUACUGUUAAGAGGAAGACUCAGGAAAUGGGAAGAGCACUUGUUUGGUUUUAAAAAGUCCACCUCUUUUUCCCCUUUCAGGCUCUGUAAGAGUAUAGAAAUCCAGGACUGGAGAGAAAGUGUGUGAAUCAAUGUCAUUUGCACUAGUUACAGACUUCAUCUUUGCAUCUGCAGUCAUGAUUUUGGCAGUCUUCACAGCCCAUGGGGAACCAGUCUGGUCGGCGGCUUGAUCCUAGGUACCUUUGAGCCUUAUGCCACACCUGUAUUGACAAAUUCAGCUAGAGUAAUGUGUGCCUCAGCAGGUGGGAAAGCUGUAGGAGGAGGCCUAAAGGGAACUGUACAGUGAUGCAGCACCCAAAGGCUUUUCUAAUCUCUGCCUCUGGUGAAGAGCACCGACAUACUACUAUCUUUGGUUUUCACCCAUCCUUCUCCCUGUGUUCUAAACAGAGGAACUGAAAGAUAAAAGUGUCUUUGACUAUUUGUAAUAUUCUCAAGUGGGACCCUCCAGCCUCACUGUUUUGUGGCUGCUGGAAGGAAUAAGGAGAAUACUGUUACACAGAUCUCUAGUUCCUAUGAUCCUCAGUAUUUUACAGGAGCGCCAACAGUGCAUGCUUGGAAAAUCAUCUGUUGAACCCUCAAUCCAGCAACCUGCUGAGAUGUAAAGAGUUCUCAACUCAUGGCCUUGCAGGUACUACGAGUACACAGCCAAGAACAGCUGUGCAGCACAUGUUAUUUCCAAGACUGGAAUUCUGAAAAUUUGAAACAUUAAAAACUAUUUAUCUACCCACAAUCUGAAAGGCUCUGAAUCUGCAACAUAUACAGGUUGCAGCCAUUUCACAUCAUGCCUGGGGAACCAGGAGUCUGGAAAUCCUGGAAGCCUGCAGCCUCCUGAGAGCACUCCUGGCAGUCUGGGGCUUGCAGCUUUGACUGCCUUCUAAUGGGCAUCUACCUUCUAUUUAGUGAAGAUUAAUUUACGUUGGCUAUGAAGCUAUAUUACAGAAAUAGUAUGAAAUAGAAUAGUAGAAAUAAAAUAGUAUUAUGUUUGUAAUGUCAGCUACUGCCACACCACAGAGCAUUCUAAUUACCAGACUGAAAGAAAGUAGGUCUUGGUACCACUAUCCCAAUCACAAGAGAAUGAUAAAAUUCAGGUAUUUAUUUAUUUUUUUUCUUUUGAUUUUUGAGUGCAUAGUUGUGUCAGAAACAAUAUUCUGGGGUGUUGAAAUAAAUUGCUUAAUUGCUGUUUAUCCAAGCUGAUUGCAGGCCUCUCAAAUUAUAUUUACUUUAUAAGUAAUAGCAUGUAUCCCGAUGUCGGUAAUAAAUCAGUAUGCUGUUCGAAUGUACGGGAAGGAGGUAGUAAAGGUAAAACUAUAGUACAAUAAUCUCAAACGUUCAUAAUGACGGUAGAAAUUGACACACUGCACGUACUGAAUGCAAAACUGGUAUUUUGUGCUUGGGAACAAAGAUAUUUAACAAUAAAAUACUGUUACAGAAAAAGGAAAUGCCACACUGAGACAAUAGUUAAGGGUUUUGUGCAGAAGGCACAAGUACAAAUAGCUGCACUUGGUGCUGGGAAAGCCUCGGUUGGAGGAUGAUGUCCAGCUGUGGUCAUCAUCUUUCAAGACAAAGCACAGAGGAAGAAACAAUGUUAUGAACAACAAAACCUGACCCGUAAGAACUGAAAGUCCUGAGCUGUUUAAUCUGGCAAAGAGAAGGCACAGAAAUAAAAUUCUAGUUUGUCAAAGUGUUGAAAAAAGACAGGGAAGUAUUGUUCUCUGUGUCUACUAGGGAUGAGCUGCUUACUCACUCACCUGAACCCAGCUGACAAAGAAGCUUCACCUGGGAAAUGCUGCAUCUGUUUCUUCAACAUCUCCAUAACAUAUCAAAGCAAGAAUGUGCUCAGAUGGAACCUUAUGAGCCUUAAAGUUUGUCUGUUGCUGAAGACGAGUGAAAAGGUGGUUUUCUUAACAUACUUAGUUUGCUGGCCUACAGAAAAAAAGAAUUCAAAGCAGUCAGAAAAUGACACAUGAAAAGUUCUCAGUGAAACACAGCCUCUUUUUCAUUUGGCUUUUAUAUUAUUUUAAGAAAGUUUGCCUUUUCUCAGAAUCAAACCUUCAUGUUGCAAAAUACAAUGUUAAUACUACCACAGCCUUCAGUAGUCACAGCAUCUCCAUUCUGUAUUCAAUGCAUUAACUCUCACUGUCUGUUCUACUCCAUAGGCACUGCUUUCUAAAAACUUUCCACUACCUCAAGCAUGAGCAAGAAGCUAAAACAAAGGCUCAUUGAAUUCCUCAGUCAUGGGCCUCAGCCAUGGAAUAUGUGAGGUCACCAUAUGCCCUUGGGCACCCUUUAUUUCAAGGGGUGUGCUAAGCAGCCAGAAAUACAGGCUUACAAAGUACCGUAAGAUUAGUAAGUGAAAAGGUUUAUUAAGUGCUGUUUUGAUCCCAUUUUGGAGGUUCCCUCAGUGAUUUUCACUGUUCAUGCCUUUCUUCAUCCACUUAGCUGAUCACGGUGACAUUUAAUGCAAUAGGAUAAAGAUCCUUCCACUAAAUAUCACGGUGGUAUACAAACAGGAUAGACUUCAUUCCAUUCUCUCUCCUGGAAACAAGCAGGAUGGUACCAAAAUCUGUGGAAAUGCUUUUAGUUAUUUUAUUUUCCUUUUAAGUUUCAUCCCAUAGUAGCAUCGUUUUCUUUCUGACUUAACAGCAGGAUUCUGAUACUUCUGCCCAGAGAGGCUGCAUGGAUUUAGUCACAGUGAAGAGCUACACUAAUAAUAGAGAACAAAACACCAGCAACAACAAAAGGAAUUCUUUUUGUAUUAAGCUGUAGAUGCUUUAAAUUAGUGAACUGGUGGCUGCUUUCAACUUGAAUGUGAUUAAAUUGCAAAAGGUAACCUCUUCAAAUAAAUAAUAAUAAUAAAAAGUUCUGCAUGAAUGAGACACAGUCACGAAGUAAAGUUUAAUAGCACAGAUUUUGCUAGAUCUUCUCUAAAAUUACUGAAACGUCCAGUUGGGAACUGGAGUUAUUAAUUAAUCUGCUUACAGAUCAAUCCCAGCCAACUCACAUUUACAGGAUAGUCCGUAUUUUCAGAUGUAACUGAUUGUGUUUUGAAUUUCAAAGCCCAUCUGUUACCACUCCUGUUUGUCAGGCUGACACAUGGGCACCUCUUUGCUGAUUCCCAAACAAGCCCAUGUAUAACAGGACUGGGCUUACCAUGUCUCAUGUUGAUUUUUUGAUUUUAUUAUACUCAAUUAACACAAUUAAACUUCUUUUUUUUCUCUUA